CAAAUGAACAUUUACUAAAUACCUGUAAAAUUGGGGUAGCCAGUAUGACUUCUUAAAUAUUAAAGAUCAACUGGCAAAGAUAUGAGAAAAUGUGGGUGCUUUUUUUAAUAAUAUGUAUGCUUUAAAUAAGUGCACAGAAUCAGGCUUGCUAUUUUGCAGAGUUAAUAGUUUUGUAGGAAAAAACAGUCACAAGAAAUGCCCAUUGAGGCAAAUAUUAAAACUCUUAACUGAAAUUAAAAAUGUUUUUAAGACAAACUCCUUUCUGUGCAUCUGCAGCUUUAACUCUUUGGUGAAAGUCAAUUAUGUGCAAGCAUUAACUUUAAAGAAAACUUCUUCAGAGUGUCUGGUGCAUAAAGUGAAGUAAAGCUGCAUGUUUUCCAGUCUGAUGGCAGUAAUGCAGGUCCUCUAGAAAGAAAGCAACGAACAAGUUUUCAAGUUUGCCUGCAGUGGCUGAGAUGACUCACUCAUGUCACAGGGGAUAAUUUCACUGCAACCAUUGAGAAUUUUGUUAUUUUCUUUCUGGGAGAAGGAAUAGAUGGGUUUAUUUUAAGUACGGGGGCAAAGGGAUUGUUAGUGGGAAUUCUACACAAAACUACACAAGAUGUGAGCUGGACAAGAAUCAUUCAUAUCUUAAGAUAAGUUACUUCAAAAUAUGAGUAUAAUUACUCCUAAAAUGUCACUUUGAGUUGCUUUAUUUUUUAUUUUUAUUUUUUGCUUAGCUUUUUUUUUUUUCUUUGAAGGUAAAGGAAACACUUAAAAUAAUGACUGGGGUUACUGGUAUUUAUACGCCAAGAGUUGUCCUACAAUGCCUCUCUUCAUCUUCAAAUAAACAGAUGACCAUAUGUAAAAUAACCAUUAUAUAGUCUGAGUAUUUUAAAUCUGGCUUUUAUGUUUGAAAUGCAUCUAAUAUCACCUACAAAGAUCAGCGCUGCUAUCCUCAAGCUCCUGCUUUGCUUGAGAGUCCACAAAAGACACAGAAAACUAGGCUGCAUCCUGUGCACCUGCCUUCCUGUCAAGAAACUUACCUCAGGCUAAUGCAUGCAGAGGGACAGGUCAGAUUGUGUGAAGGUUCUAUGCAAACUGCCCAAGAUCACUUGGGGCCCCACUGGCAUCACUGAAAGGCAUUGCUGGGUUUACGGUCUCCUGAAUAGCUCCAACCUGUUGUUGAGAGUCAAGCCACGAUGUAGAAAGAAUCGCUGCACUUUCCCAGGGCUGCUCCGCAGUGUGAGUGGCCACUAGCUCUCUUUUCCUAUGACCCCAGUGCUGUUUGGGUUUGCUCUCCAGAAGAACAGGUAGAUACAUUUGCAGCUGGCGGGGGCACUGCUUUAUUGCCUAUUGUGGAAUGCGUGCCAAAUAAAAACCAUCGUGAUUUGAAAUCGGCAAUCUUAUAUGCUUUUCAGGUUACUCGGAUGUUCAAACACACGUAACCAACCAUCAAUAUGAGAAAUUCUCCUUUAAGCUGUUAGUGUAUUACAGCCUGUGACUUUUCAACUCGGGGAAUGAUACUCAUUUCUCUAUCUGUUCCAUACAGAACAACUUUUUCUUUAUUGCAUUUAGAAUGGUGUAACUGAAAGGCAAUAAGGAAAGGCAAUAUCAUUGAGUGGUUCACAUUACGCUGAAUUUUAUUGUAGUCUGGCAUUGUGAGUGAACUUUUGGAAUCCUUGAAAGCAGCAUAAAGGCAGAGCCUGCUUCUAAUGGACUGAAGAAAAAUAUUCUGACAUAAUGAUAAGUGGGGUGACUUCUAGAAAUCAUGACUUGAAACAUUUCUGAACAAAUGCUAUUUCAGUUGUCCCAAUGCACAGAGUGAUAUUGAAACAGCCUGCUAUAGGCCAGAACCACUAAUUUUUUUCCCUAAGGGCAGAACUUCAUUUUUAAAGAUAUAGAAUGAUCCACAACUCUAAAUUCCAGCUAAAAUUUCUUUUCUUCCAUUCUCCUCCAAUUAUUCUCCCAAGCUAUUACAUCAGAGGUAUUAGAAUUUAGGUGCUAUGAUCAUAUUUACUUUAAUAUGUUUAUUUUCCAAUUGUAAAAUGGACACAUAAGAGAUUUUUAUAAUUAUCAAAUGGCUAAUUUUUAAACAAUAAGUCUUUUUAUUGUCUUCAUUCUCUGCUUUUGAAAUAUAUGGAGUUGCAUAUUCUUAAGUUUUGAAUUGUUUUAGAGAACUAGUAUAGAUGUAUUUUUCACCUCCUAUGAGAAUUUCAGGAGCAGUAAUAAAGGGCAAACCAACACAGGGACAUCUUUGUUUUGGGUUAUUUAAAGGAUACACCAUUUAAUCUUUCAUACAGUACUGAAAAUAUUCGUAACAGUUUUCUAGUUUAAAGAUACUUUAAUAUUUAAUGUAGUAUUUUAAUUACAUUUUUAAAAAUAUGUUUUAAAAAGAAAAUGUUUAAAAAUAUUUUUAAAAUUUUAUUCGAUAGCUUUUAAUAUUACUAAUAAUGUACUAAAAUAAGAAAAUGGGUGAGAAUGAUGGUGAAGCCAUAGCAAAGGCAGAGACAUGUCCUUUCUGCAAAAGUGACAACAGGGUAAGCAGGCUAUGAGGACUCAGCCCUCUGAACAAUCUUUGCAUCCCUGAAUGAUCUCUAAUGUUCAUUAGGCUUGUGUUACAGAUGCUUGUUUUCCUCUCUUUCCUGUAAGGCCUUGCAGUAAUUUAAAGUAACCAGAAUAUGUUUCCAUUCCUUGUUACCUGAAAAAGUCAAACAUACUCAUGUUAUACAGGUAAAAUGGAAUGGUACAUUAUGUGAAAAUUAUUUGUAAACUGUCAAAUUAUGUUCAAAUAUGAGGUAAGAUCUGAGAAGCUUAGGAUAUAAGUUAGUCUCAAAACUUAAAUGCUUUUCAAGGGAAAAUUUAUUUGGUGAUUAACUAGAAUUUUAGUUGCAAUAUGUAAUCCUUGACUUUUUGAAGUAGCCUAGAGGUGGUCAGGACUUGUAGAUUACAAUAGUCCUUUACUUACUUGAAUAUUGAUCUGGUAGUACUGAAUACUGAAUACUGACAAUUUAAACUCUUUGGCAGAAAGUGCUCUUAUAAAACUUCUAGAAAAUUUAUUAUUUUAAAAAUUUUUAUUAUGUAUUUAUUGUGCACAACAUGAUGGGUGUGUUUGUUUGUUUGUUUGUUUUGAGACGGAGUCUUGCUCUGUCACCCAGGCUGAAGUGCAGUGGUGCCAUCUCAGCUCACUGCAACCUCCACCACCUGGGUUCAAGCAAUUCUCUGCCUCAGCCUCCCGAGUAGCUGGGAUUACAGGUGCCUGCCACCACGUCAGGCUAAUUUUUGUAUUUUUAGUAGAGACGGAGUUUCACCAUCUUGCCCAGGCUGGUCUUGAACUCUUUACCUUGUGAUCCACCCGCCUCAGCCUCCCAAAGUGCUGGGAUUACAGGCAUGAGCCACCGUGCCCAGCCCACAACAUGAUGUUUUGAAGUAUACAUACACUGUGGGAUAGUUAAGUCUAGCUAAUUAACAAAUGUGUUACCUCACAUAGUUAUCAUUUUUGUACUGAGAACACUUAACAUUCACCAUCUUCUCAUUUUUAAAUAAUGUAAUCUAUCGUCAUUAACUAUAGUCACCAUGCUGUACAAUAGAUCUCUUGAACUUAUUUCUCCUAUCUAAUUGUAAUUAUAUAUCCUUUCAUCCACAGUCAUAUUGAUGAUUAUUUAGCAUAAAUUGUUAACAAAGAUCUUUUUCUAUUUUAGAACAGAUUGGAAGAAUGCGAAAUGUUAUUAGACACAGGCACAGCAUAGCAGUAGAAACAUCUUAACUGAGAACUUGGAACUGAAAGAGAAAGCAACCAACUUAAAGGGCAGACAAGACACAUGGUUAUGUAACACAGCAGUGGGUAUUCACAGUGAUGACACAAGACAAAACAAUUACAUUUUCAUUCUAAAAGUAAUUUUUAAGGAGGCAAGGGCAUUUAUAAAACAUUUUAGAAACUAUUUAAUAAAAAUGGUAAAAUUAAAGUGUUUGUUUAUGUACUCAACAAAUAUUUAUUUGGAAAGUGCAUGCCUGGGGGCACAUCUCGUUAAUGAGGUGAUCCUGUGUUUAGAACUGAAGGCAGUCCUCAUCCAUUCUCUCAAAAGGUGACCUUCUUUGUUCUUCUUAUAGCCUCACCACAUUUAAUUUUCAGAGGUUUUGACAUAAAUUAAAAACAUUCUUUGGUAGAUUGUAUUGUAUGAAAACAAUCUUCAAAAGUGUAAGCAUUGAUAUCUGGAAUAUCUGGGAAAAUGUACAAUAAAGACAUCUCUUCUGGUCUUCCUCUGAUGGUAAUGUGUUCACUAUUAUACUGAUGAUGUAAGCUAUGUAUGUAAACCUAUGCAGGUAAAAUUCUGCUAAAGCCAAUCCCACUACAAAACAACAACAACAACAAACCCCAAGUGGCAUCUGAAGAGCUUGGGAAUUCCAGGAAUGUGAUAAAAAUGUUUUUAAUAAUACACGGAAAAAUAAUUUAGUGUGUAAAUAAUAUUUUAUAGUAAAUGCUUCAUUUUAUUCCUUCCAUAUAACAACUGUCUUCUGUAAUGAAAAUACUUACUUGUUUGUUUAGUGUCUAAAGGUUGAGAAGGGAACUAGAAUUGGCCUAAGGAGGCCCUCAGCCACCCAUCAUGUGACAGUAUGGCCAGGAGGACUUACUCUCUGCUCUCCUCCUCUUGACAUGCCUCAAACACACCAAUCAUUUGCACUUGGGAAAUCAACCCUCACUAGCAAAUUACUCCUGCCAACAAAAUAACCCAAUCAGCAUGCAAAACUGGUAGCGAGCUGGGAGAGGGCGAUGAGAGUGGUGUUCACAUGGCUCCCUCUGUUUCCCUUUCCCCAGGUCUGGGCACACACUGUCAGUCAGUGGCCCCUGACUCAGAAAGAGGUUUGAUUUAAACCAUUUCAUUUUCUGCUCUCAGACUGGGAAUUUAUUUAAUAUGAAUGUCAUCAUUAUAACAAAACUCAACUGUAUUCUAGCAAAAAUUUGGCUGAUCUAUGAAGAAUAUUGGAAGGAGAAUCUGUGAACCCAAAAAUACUAGACCACUGCUUAUUCAGUUCUGCAAUUUUGUCACUUUAAUGGACUCUUCAGAGUGCCAAAUCACUAGUCCUACUGACUAUACAAAAAUUGGCCAUCAACAUGCCUGCCUCCAACAAAUUGUUGCUGUUACUUCAUGUUAUCCACUUUGGGCUUAGAGACUGAAGGCCAAAAAGCAUCCAAUUUUUAUGGUAAAAAAGUGCAUCAGGAGGGCAACUACAUACAAAGUUACCCUCCCAGUUUGACCCUGUCCUUAAGUUUUUAUUGCCUGAACUGGCACCAAAGAAACUCCUUGAAAAUAACACAUUCCUUGUCCAUUCAGUGGUUAAUGAUGCUUAAAAAAAAUCACAGUUUGUGACUGUGACCUAAAUUAUGCCAGAAGCUGUAAAACCAUGGUUUCUUUAAAUUCAAAUAUGACCCACAUGCUUUAAAACCACUACACUGACCCUAUAGUACUGUUGCUGAGUGUGCGUGUCCUCACAUAAACACAGACACACACACACACACACACACACACACACACACACACUCCCCACUUGGCAUUAAAUGACUCGAUAAAAGAAAUGGUAUUUUUCAGACUUCCAUGUUAAAAAAAAGGCUCAUGAAAGAGAUGUAAGUGAGCUUUAAGCCAAACAUUUGUUUGGCUUUGCUGCAGCAGGCUGCAGGAAUGUAAACUUUUUUUUUUUUUUCAAUGACUUCAGCUCCUAAUUUGAAAGCUAGGAUUUUUAGGAGUGAGCAAGAGACUAUAUUUGGCCAAAAAAUUCUGCUGGCUUUACUUAGCCAAUCUGCACAUUCAAAACAAUACUUCUUUAUCAAAAAAACAAUAGUCUGUUUUAUUCACAGCACAUGUAGAAGUUGGAACAUCGACUAAAUUCCACUUUCUUCUCUUGCAGUGUGUCUGUAACCAGCUAAUGAGCUGCAACAGAGCCUGGCCUUCAUUUUCAGCAAAUUAAGUUCAUCCCUCAUAGGAAUUGUGGUCUGGCUGUGGCACCGCUCCUAGACAUGACAAACUCCAAAAGGAAACCCAAGCAGCUAUUUGGCUCCCUUAAUUAAUGAAGUCGCCCAGUAUGGAUAAUUCAGGUUCUCUAAACAUGAAUAUGCCUUUGGGGGAAGACAGAAGAACAUGGAAGCCAUGUGAAAAAAACGGAUCCUAAGGCAGUUUUGAACAUCUGGAGGCCUGAUUUAUUGGAGAUUGCAAAUGUACAGUGUAACAUAGCUGUGGAGAGCGAGAAGAUCAGGAUUGUCAAUGCUGUCAUUGCUUUUACUGGAAUCCCCAGCACGAAUUGAAGGUUUGACCAGAGACAAAGAAGCAAAUGCUAUCAAUUAACAUUCACAUGUGGUAGGUCUCACUUUGCCACCUAGGCUGGAUGCAAUGCAACGGUAUGUUGAUCUUGGUUCACUGCAGCCUCAACCUCCUGAGCUCAUGUGAUCCUCCCACCUCAGUCCCCCACGUCGCUUGGAUUACAGGCCUGUGCCACCACACCUGGCUAACUUUUUUUGUAAUUUUUGUAGAGACAGGGUCUCACUAUGUUUCCCAUGCUGGUCUUUAAUGCCUGAGCUCAAGCCAUCCGCCUGCCUCGGCCUCCCAAAUUGCUGGGAUUACAGGCAUGAGCCACCAUGCCCAGCCUAAUUCUUCUAAAUCUUAUCCUAGUAAUUAAGCCAGAAUUUUUCUCUGCCAAGACCAAUAGAUGGACCAAGAAGUACUCAUCCUUGUAAACUUUCUUUGGAUAAAUUGCUUACAUAUAAUAAAUUCAGAGUUAAGUAAUAAAAAUAAUGAACUACUGUCUUG
This 6779-nucleotide long non-coding RNA is filed under the name Homo sapiens (human). Its description in RNAcentral is "HSALNT0091122". Lineage: Eukaryota; Metazoa; Chordata; Mammalia; Primates; Hominidae. The record is from RNAcentral.